UCCUUCGGGAUGGUCAGUGGAGUGGCGCACGGGUGAGUAACACGUAGGUAAUCUGCCUUCGGGUGGGGAAUAACUCAGGGAAACUUGAGCUAAUACCGCAUAAUGCAGCGGCACCACAUGGUGACAGUUGUUAAAGCGGGGGAUCAUUCGACCUCGCGCCUGAAGAGGAGCCUGCGGCGGAUUAGGUAGUUGGUGAGGUAAUGGCUCACCAAGCCUGCGAUCCGUAGCCGGCCUGAGAGGGCGGUCGGCCACACUGACACUGACAUACGGGUCAGACUCCUACGGGAGGCAGCAGUCGGGAAUUUUGGGCAAUGGGCGCAAGCCUGACCCAGCAACGCCGCGUGAAGGAUGAAGUUUUUCGGAAUGUAAACUUCACAAGAAUGGGACGAAGAGAGAAGGGCUAACAUCCCUUUGAUUUGACGGUACCAUUUGUAAGCUCCGGCUAACUCCGUGCCAGCAGCCGCGGUAAUACGGGGGGAGCAAGCGUUGUUCGGAUUUACUGGGCGUAAAGGGCGCGUAGGCGGCACGACAAGUCGCUUGUGAAAUCUCCGAGCUUAACUCGGAGCGGCCAAGCGAUACUGUCGCGCUAGAGUGCGGAAGGGGCAACUGGAAUUCUCGGUGUAGCGGUGAAAUGCGUAGAUAUCGAGAGGAACACCUGCGGCGAAAGCGGGUUGCUGGGCCGACACUGACGCUGAUGCGCG
RNAcentral lists this ribosomal RNA (701 nucleotides) under uncultured bacterium. RNAcentral describes it as "bacterial SSU rRNA". It matches the Rfam family "Bacterial small subunit ribosomal RNA", at positions 76 to 755 of the family's 1533-position model. The record is from RNAcentral.